Molecule: unclassified non-coding RNA, 210 nt
Filed under: plant metagenome
Description: partial contains small subunit ribosomal RNA, internal transcribed spacer 1, and 5.8S ribosomal RNA
Source: RNAcentral
UAUCCGUAGGUGAACCUGCGGAAGGAUCAUUAGUGAAUAUUAGCGCAUCUACUUGUAGAGCGUGACCUCCACUUUCUAACUCUGUGCAUUUAUUGGCGGAAGAACUAGAGUAAUCGAAUUCUUAUGCGGCUCAUUUUAUAACACUAGAUAAAGUAUGUAACGAAAUAUCGAAACAAAAAAAAACUUUCAACAACGGAUCUCUUGGCUCGC